This 4747-nucleotide small RNA is filed under the name Rattus norvegicus (Norway rat). Its description in RNAcentral is "uncharacterized LOC103693221". The record is from RNAcentral. Lineage: Eukaryota; Metazoa; Chordata; Mammalia; Rodentia; Muridae.
UUUAAAAACAUGAGCCACCACUGCUUAGCUAUGCUUUUUCUAUAAUUAGAUUCUAUAUUCCAAAUUUUAUAGAAAGUCACUUUGUAACUUGAUGUAUACAAUGCAUACUUUAUACAUUUCAUACACCGGGUAAGAUUUGCCCAGUGGAAUCCAUCUGGGGUGUGUACCUCCCUUUCUAUGUACAGGCUCCGCUCCCACAGCAUCAGCAAAAUUAUCUCCAUGUCUCAAAAGUAUGCUAAAUAGUUCACCUGCACAUCUCUGAAUAAACUGGUUUUGCUGGUGCAAGCUUAUUUCAUAGAAACCACAUUUCUGAAGGAGCUAAAAACAACAACAGAAAAGAAUUAAGAACAUGCAAUGAGACAAGGUUGGGUGGCGGUCUCUGUCACUUUUCCUUUGAGCAUAACUCCUUUGAGCUGCCGUAGAUAUGGAAUUGCAAAAUGGAUUUCCCUCCUUGUUAAUAUAACCCAGGUUAAAGCCAAUACUGCUUUACAUCAGAAAAAUUUAAGGUAGAGCUUUGAUCUCCUUCCUAUUAAAAUAAAGUAAUGCAUUAUACUGACCUCAAAAAAGUAGUCUUAAUUAGGGGCCUUGAAUAAGAUAAUUGACCUUGACAUUGCCUUCAGCUCAGGGCAUGAAGCUGUUAUCAAAACGACUUAUUGGGAAGCAAGACAUGCUGCCAUAAGGACUAUUUAUUUAAUAAUUCUGCAUUUUAGUAUUUCAAGCUUCCAGGGUCUUCACUGUCUCUAGUAUGACCAGAAAAAUACUACAUCAUAUGGGAGUGGAAUCUAUGCUGAAAAUAUGCUUAGCUUUGAAGUACAAUCUUUGUUUCAAUGCAACCUAGACUGUUUGCUUCUUACUACAAAUGCUUGGUCAUGGAGUAUUGCUUCUGUGUGCUACUCCUGAUGCUAUGCAACUUCAGGAUCAAACAGAAAACCUGGAGAUGGGUGCAGAGUGAACACUGGCCCAGAAGUCAAAGGGUUUCAUUCUUGCCGCUCAUUACAAUGGUAGUCAGUUGUGGUCGUAGACAAAUAUUACAUUUGAUCAUAUCUAAAUUCCUGGAAACUUUGUUGCCUGGUAAGAGUAUACUGGGGUCUUGGUCUGCUCUUUGUUUCUUGUCUGCUAUAACGUGAGCUGCUCCUUGAUGCCCUCCCACAUAGAGGGAAUGAACUCUCUAAAACCAUACGCCCAAAUCAAUCUUUUAAAAAUUGUUCCCUUAGGAAUUUUGGCCUCAGUCAUGGUAUAAACGAGACAAUUUGGCCUGCCCCCCCACUCCCCAGUUGUAUCUGCAGUAUCUCAGGGCUGUAAAGUCGAGGGUUCACUCUCCUAAUGUGGAAUUUCUAGAAGAAUUCAAGGCUUAGAUGUUUUAGAGCACUAGUCAAGAAUGAUUUUUGCCCUCUGGGGUAGAGCACAUUACAGAAACAUGAAGCUUAGUCUUGGCACAGACGAUAGUUCUGUGGGAAAGACAGGGAGAAAGCUCAAGUUUUGGGUAUGUGUCAAGGGAAAGAUGUUUAGUGUUAAUGAGACAACCGACUAAACACAGAGCUGGGGUCCUGAAGGUCUGCAAAAGAAAUUCUUACCUUUAAGAAUUGGUGGGCAUGGCUACAAAGAUAGCUGAGAGAAUAAGGGCACAUUCUACUUUUAAGGAGGACCCAAGUUAGGCUCCCAAAGCCCACAUUAAGUGCCUCUGGAACACCUUUGUCUCUAGCUCCGGGGGCUCUGAUGCCUCUGAUUUCUUCAGGCACCUGAACUCAAAUGCACACAAAGACACACACACACACACAUACUUAAAAAAAUACAUCUAGUAAAUGUAAGAAUCCAUAGGCAAAGGGGAAAAAUGAAAGGAGGUGACACACGGUUUGUACUGUCAGGUCAAGGUGAGGCUUGGUAAGAUGGUUUGUGACUCAUCCCAGGAGGCCGCGUUCUACUCUUCAUCCUUUCUAAACUAAGUCUAUCAACAGUCAUCAAGCUGGAACACACCCCGUUUCGCCAAAUCUGUGCCUUCUAAGAAGUCAUGUUUUCUCUUCCCAUCUGUCAGUAUCUUUUCCUUAGGGGUCAAAUCUCUACCGUUGUUCUGCUGCAAAUCUUUCCUGAUCCAUGUGUUCUCUACUGACAAUAGAUGGAAGUCGAUACCAGAUACUUCGUGCAUUGCUAAGACAGGUAAAGAUGUGCCCACUGGGUCUUUAUCUCCGGCUGCCUUUCAUUUCACUGCAUUCCGUCUGGCACAUCCUGUUCUGAAACAAAGAGAUACCAGGUAAACCUCUGAAUAGCCAAAAGAGAAACAUCCACAGAAAUUAAUGAGGGAACCAACAAGACCUCUACCCAGGAAAUAUGACUUCCUCUGAGCUCCAAGAGCAAGAGAGAAUUUGACAGAAAGUUAAAAAAAAAAUUAGGCAGAGAGAGAGUGGACUUGGUGUGUAUGGAGAAGAAUAUACGAGUCCAAGAAGAAGUCACAUUGGUCCCUUCGUGGCCUGUCCUACCAGCCUGCUUUGCUGAAGGACUUUGAUACCCCAACCACAAUGAACCUGAGAAAAUGGACAGCAUUGUUGGGAGCUUGUGAGCUCCUGUCACAGUACCGAGCUUGAACAAUGUCGAUUAAAGCCCCAUGCUUGAGACUGUCAUUAGACCCGCAUUAAAUUACAUAUCUGGAGUGUUAAAACAUAAAGAGUACAGUGGCUUUUUCGCAGCUACCUAAGCUCUCACUCAGGUGAACUGAGCAGGCUUGGCAUUUCUGAGGACUUCUAAUUCCCUGGGCUGUGGAUAAAGUGGGCACUUACUUUUCCAUCAACCACCCCUUCUCCCAGACUCCAAGAAAGAAAGAAUAAAAGAAAAUCUAAGUACCUUCAAACCAAAGCAAGGUGCAAACACUCGUACUAGACCGCUUGGCUCCAAGAAACAGAGAACUCAAAGCACCUCCUAUGUUUUCAAAGAAACUUCUAGUUCUUGGCAGAAAAGUGAACUGACCAGGUGAGGGAAAAGUAUGUCCAUGCUUUCAAGAGGAUCGCUGGAGAAAGGACUGUCUUGCUCGCAGACCACUCCCAUAUCUGUACCUGCUCCCAGCACCCACCUCUCUCCCUGCUAUUUCUUAUCUGUCAGCAUCGCUGCUCUAAGGACACUGGACGUGGACCUCAGGACAGCCCUUUGAAGCCUACAUCCAGAGACCUAUGCCCAAUAUUCACAUACUGGCGGCACAGGCAUCAUCAUCCAGAGGUUCCACUGAGAUCAGGAAAGAGAGGACAACCUGAUGGGAUCAUUCCAAAAUGUCGGCUAGCAAGGAAGCAGAACAUAUUGGGGACAAGCGACGACCACGGGGCAAAACUGGAAGUUCUUGAAUUUGCCAUUAAAAUAUCGGCUCUGAGGACAAGAUACCGAAAGACAUCCUCUCAGUUGAUGGGGGACAGCCACCGUUGAGAAAGUAGAUGAUCACUUUCUUCCUGACAUUCUGGCCUCUGGCCAUGAAUAUUGAAAGCUGUUAUCCUCUGGGGCUACUCAUUUCCUUCUCCAAGAGGCUUUAAUGCUUACGACAUAUAAACUGCUUACCAACAGUCAUAGAGCAGCGGUAGCAUGGGUGAGAGAGCAUCUCUGUGGUAAGAUGUUUAGCCCUUUGUGUACAUGCACGAGAGCUAUAUUGCUGGAUCUCUCAGUAGAAAGAUUUCCAGUUUUCUGGGGGAAAUGUUACAGUAUUUUCUACAGUGGCUUUGCAAGAAGGGACGAUAGAUCUCAACAAGUCACCUUGUUCCCACCUUGCAUGUCCAUCACGUUGACCUUGGUACAGGCUGGACAGAGAUGAGCUCAGUGCUGGAAUAAUUUUUUUCCACUGGAGAACUUCUACUAACUUUUUGUUUGUUACUUGUUUUUUUUUUUCUAAAUGUGCAUGGGGCACAUAGUUUAUUUUUUGCUUCAGGCUGAAAUGUGACCUGGCAUUACCCAGAAGAUGGGUCUUGUUUUGGAAACGAAGACUCUGCCUUCCAGACAAGUUGCCACAGAUGAAUUAUGACCAGCUACCCAAGCUUCUGGCCCCAUCACUUCUUCACUUUGAUCGAUUGUAUUAGUGAACUGUGAACCAAAAUAAAUCCUUCUCCAGGAGUACUUUAAUCAGAGUAUUUUAUCACAGCAACAGGAAAAGUGACCACAACAGAAAAAUUGGAAGCAGGCUUACGUCUGUUACAGACAUGAUCAUGUGGUUCUUCCUUUAAGAGAUGGAGUUUAGAGUAUCUCUAAUUUACUGUGGUUUUAAGGAAGGAUAACCCAGAGACACAUCAUCUCCUUAAGAAGGCCUUCAUGCAGCAUCACUGAAGUUAGUGUCCUCCAUUUGGAAGAAGUGUUUGAUGAGACACAGUAUCAAAAAGAAAAUGUUGUUUACCCACAAAAAGAAUUGAAAGGGCUUCAAAGAAUAAAAGCUAAAGGCAGUGUCGAUUGCAAUAGCAGCACUGAGAAAAACAAUAGCUCAAUUCCAUCUGGGUGGCUUACGGAGCCUUAGGACCCUCACUGGAUCAAUACAUAUCUUGGUUCAGAGAUCUACAUUUCUUUGUACAUUUACAAAUUCAGGAAUGUUCCGGUUCUCCAAUAUUUUCUUUAUUUCAUUAUAACCAACCUCUGUCCUUGUAGAACUCACUUUUCAAGGAAUUGAUUCCAGUCUCAGCUUCAAUUUGCUGACUUUCACAUACCACCCAAAUGUUUCUUAAUUUUUUAUUUCUAAAUACAACUGUGCUGGAGAAGAAAUUACUCAUCUACAUAACAUUUCUUUUGCCAA